Molecule: long non-coding RNA, 436 nt
Organism: Choloepus didactylus (southern two-toed sloth)
Lineage: Eukaryota; Metazoa; Chordata; Mammalia; Pilosa; Megalonychidae
Exons: 3
Source: RefSeq, a predicted model, not a curated record
AGACCCUCUUCUGAAAGAAGACCAGGGAGACAACAGAACAAGGUCCUGAAAGAACCAGAAGAGGGAGUUAAGAGGAGGGGGUCCUGGGCCUGCUGCGCCAUGAACUGACUGAGGGACUCGGCAAAUCAAUCAUCUCACUAGCCAUGAAACAAAGUAUUUUCCUCUGCAAAAUGGAAAGAAGCUGUCAAGCAUCCUGUGGCUUGUUUGCUCCCAUCAGCUUGUUUGCUGGAAGGAAGCCCAUUUACUCUUGGAUGGAAACUCAAGUUGGCAAGCAACAGCAGCUUUCUACAACGAGAGGAUUCUGCCAACACCUUGAGCCAACACCAUUGCUGAACGGUGCUGAGGCUGCCUGGAGAAGGAAGAUUAUCACCUUCUACCUGUAUCAUCUACCUAAUAGGAAUGGACAGUCAGCAAGAGGUGAUAACAGAAGUGAGAC